UGGGGAAUCUUGCACAAUGGGGGCAACCCUGAUGCAGCGACGCCGCGUGAGCGAUGAAGCCCUUCGGGGCGUAAAGCUCUUUCGACCGGAACGAUAAUGACGGUACCGGGAGAAGAAGCUGCGGCUAACUACGUGCCAGCAGCCGCGGUAAUACGUAGGCAGCAAGCGUUGUUCGGAGUUACUGGGCGUAAAGAGUGCGUAGGCGGUUUUCUAAGUUCGGUGUGAAAUCUCCCGGCUUAACUGGGAGGGUGCGCCGAAGACUGGGAAGCUAGAGUGUGGGAAAGGCAGGCGGAAUUCCUGGUGUAGCGGUGAAAUGCGUAGAUAUCAGGAGGAACACCGGCGGUGUAGACGGCUUGCUAGACCAUAACUGACGCUGAGGCACGAAAGCGUGGG
Molecule: ribosomal RNA, 393 nt
Filed under: uncultured bacterium
Lineage: Bacteria
Description: bacterial SSU rRNA
Rfam family: Bacterial small subunit ribosomal RNA
Source: RNAcentral